UACGUAGGGUGCGAGCGUUGUCCGGAAUUAUUGGGCGUAAAGAGCUCGUAGGCGGUGUGUCACGUCGGCCGUGAAAACCUGCAGCUUAACUGUGGGCCUGCGGCCGAUACGGGCAGACUUGAGUUCGGUAGGGGAGACUGGAAUUCCUGGUGUAGCGGUGAAAUGCGCAGAUAUCAGGAGGAACACCGGUGGCGAAGGCGGGUCUCUGGGCCGAUACUGACGCUGAGGAGCGAAAGCGUGGGGAGCGAACAGG
This 253-nucleotide ribosomal RNA is filed under the name uncultured bacterium. RNAcentral's name for it is "partial 16S ribosomal RNA". It matches the Rfam family "Bacterial small subunit ribosomal RNA", at positions 524 to 776 of the family's 1533-position model. The record is from RNAcentral.